GAUCCUUUGCAAAGCCAGAGGGGUGAAGGCUGUGUCGAUGAGAGGAGCUGAAUCCAAGGACUUUGGCUCUACAAGUGCUUCACUUCCCACCCUCAACAGCCUGACUGCAGAAGCUUCCCUGAAAUCUCUGAGAAACAUUGGUGUCUAUCCUGUUUGGAUAAAAUGAGGAAAAUGUCCUCACUGAAGGAUUUUCUGAAAUUCAUGGAAAUGUGCUGAAAUGAGGGCUGAGAGAUGUCAGGUUUCCUCUGUGUGUCCCCCUUUGUGAAAAUGUGUUGCUGUGUGCAGUGAAAUGCAGGGUAAAUUCCUGUGCCAGCACAGCCACCUCAUAACCCAGCUGUGCCAGAGCAUCACCACUGCUCCUGCCUCUGCUCAAACAACCCUGCCAUGGCAUGAAGGGACUCCAACAGCAUUUUCCUGCCCCAGGUACAGAUUGAUGUCUGCAAACUUUCUGCCUAUUAAAAUUGUACCUCUAUCAGCAUCUCCAGGAACUUUGUGUGGUAAUUUCUAGAAGCUUUUUGUCUUCCAGAAGUCUAAACUUAGACAAUAAACAAACCCAGACAAGUGCUUUUUCAGUCUGGAAAGGCAUAAAUAAGCAACCUGUACUUGUUAAAUUAGGUACUAUAAAAAUACUGAGCUUUAAAUCAUUGUCCCGGUAAUUAUUGUCAUCAUUGUCAUUAUUAGAUGACAUAAGAUUUUAUUGCUGAUAAUUUGGAGGCUUUGAUACAUUUAUUUGAACUGACUGCUCCUUUGGCUAAGAAUAAUUGCUUAAAUUUUUCUCAUGGGUUUUUGCUUCUAUA
This is a long non-coding RNA of Corapipo altera (White-ruffed manakin), 797 nucleotides long. RefSeq lists it as uncharacterized. NCBI's taxonomy places the organism in Eukaryota, Metazoa, Chordata, Aves, Passeriformes, Pipridae. The record is from RefSeq and is a predicted model, not a curated record. The transcript has 3 exons.